This is a long non-coding RNA of Heteronotia binoei (common prickly gecko), 433 nucleotides long. RefSeq lists it as uncharacterized. Lineage: Eukaryota; Metazoa; Chordata; Lepidosauria; Squamata; Gekkonidae. The record is from RefSeq and is a predicted model, not a curated record. The transcript is spliced from 2 exons.
AGCGGUGUCUGUUCGCCUGUCUGAGGAUGUCAUUACGAUCAGUCAGGGCACAGCCCUUCAGGUACUCUUUGGCCUCAGAGGGGAAGUGACAGUGAAGGUCAAGGCCAGCCUGGAAGGCAAGCUGUGCGCAUCCUGUGGAAAUUUCAACGGGGAUAGCGAAGACGACCUGAGGCUACCCAAUGGGAAAAUUGUGGGGAACAUUGAUGAGGUGAUUGACGCCUGGAAAGCCAGAGACUUCUGCGGCUGUGAGUGAUAACCGCAAGGGACCGUGCAACCAGCGCCUCCAGCUACAUCCGUGACCAUCAAUCACAGCCACUUCCCAUGAUACAGCUUCGCACCUACACAGCCUCAACACUCUGUUGUACAAACAAAGAAUGUUAUGCCAUGCAAUCAUGCGAUAAAUGUCAAUAAAGAACCUGCAUAUUGGAAAAUG